This 1005-nucleotide long non-coding RNA is filed under the name Bos taurus (domestic cattle). RNAcentral's name for it is "long non-coding RNA NONBTAT028129". Lineage: Eukaryota; Metazoa; Chordata; Mammalia; Artiodactyla; Bovidae. The record is from RNAcentral.
GGGGGAGCCUGGUGGGCUGCUGUCUAUGGGGUCGCAGGGAGUCGGACAUGACUGAAGUGACUUAGCAGUAGCAGCAGCAGUACCCUACACUAUUCUUUCUUCCUCUGACCCCAGACAGGUUCUGUUUCCUGCAUUCCUGGUGGAUGAAGUGAGCAGAGGUACCUCACCUGCUGAGGGUCAAGGCCGGGUCACCAGUUCAGAUCCCACCAAGCAUUUUUAGGGCACAAGGAGAGUCAGUUGUACCCUUUGCUGCUGCCUCAAAAAAAAUUAAGAAGAUGUGGCCUUCUCUGGUGGUCCAGUGGUUAAGAUUCUGCUUCCACUGCAGGGGGCACAGGUACCAUCCCUGGUAGGAGAGUUCUGCAUGCUGUUGCCAUAUGGCCAAAAAAAUAAGUAAAUAAAUAAAUAGGGAAAGGAGAAACGAAAAUGUUUCAAAGAACCAAAAGUCCAUGAAGUCACAUUCUUAACUACUCACCAGGGAAAGGUCAAAUAAUGAGAGGGAAAAUAAGAACCAAAACGGUUCAGCAUUUCUAAUGCCUUUAACUCCAAAUGGAAGGAAAUUAGUUCUCACAAUAACUCUUAGGGGCAGAAGCUCUUGCCUAUUCCUUGUCUGUCCUCAAGUGGACUCAGAGGGAGUGACCUCAAGUGCCAGCUAGUGACUGCUUUUUGUUUUACUUUGAAAAAUACCUAAAUGAUCUAAGUAUUCCCCACCCCACCCCCAUCUGUACUUCUGAGAUACUUUAGAAGUUGGUCAGGAGUUAGAAAUCAAAAUUGGUGUCCUGAGCUCCAGGCACCCUGGGUCAUGCUUAUUUGCAUUCGUCUAAGAUUAUAGUCUACGAAAGCGAGGAAUGGCCUCCCCGGAUGCAGGCACACAUGCACCUGUGGAAUAUUUUGGACAUAGUUUUAGGCACGACUUCUCAUAACUCCUCCAGAGGUUGUAGGGAUGUGAAAACCUCAGAUUUAGAAGCCCUGAUGAUCAAGGUUCGUUGGGAAGCAUAGGGCCCAAGC